GGAAAGGUGAAAAGAACCCCGAACAGGGGAGUGAAAUAGAACCUGAAACCAUACGCUUACAACCUGUCGGAGCGGCUUCGUGCCGUGACGGCGUGCCUAUUGAAUAAUGAGCCUACGAGUUACUAAUCACUGGCGAGGUUAAGUGCACGGAUGCACGGAGCCGAAGCGAAAGCGAGUCUUAAUAGGGCGUUUAGUCAGUGGUUGUAGACGCGAAACCUUGCGAUCUACCCUUGAGCAGGUUGAAGGUUGGGUAAAACCAACUGGAGGACCGAACGAAUAAGCGUUGAAAAGCUUCUCGAUGACUUGAGGGUAGGGGUGAAAGGCUAAUCAAGCUGGGAAAUAGCUCGUACUCCCCGAAAUGCCUUUAGGGGCAGCGUUGUAAUAAAGAGUCUACUGGAGGUAGAGCUACUGAUUGGAUGCGGGGGCUUCACCGCCUACCAAAUCCUGACAAACUCCGAAUGCCAGUAGUAUGAUUUACAGCAGUGAGCGACCGGGUGCUAAUGUCCGGUUACGAGAGUGGAACAACACAGACCAGCAACUAAGGUCCCCAAGAGUAUACUAAGUUGAUCUAACGAUGUUUUGCUGCAGAGACAGCUAGGAUGUUAGCUUGGAAGCAGCUAUUCAUUCAAAGAGUGCGUAACAGCUCACUAGUCGAGCGACAAAGCGUGGAUAAUAAACGGGCAUCAAGUAUACCACCGAAGUUCUGGGCACGAAAGUGCGGUAGGGGAGCAUUCCAUUCCGCGUUGAAGCCGAACCGUGAGGUUUGGUGGAGUGUAUGGAAAAGCAAAUGUAGGCAUGAGUAACGAUAAUGCGGGAGAGUAACCCGCACACCGCAAGACCAAGGUUUCCUGAUCAACGCUAAUCGGAUCAGGGUUAGUCGGGUCCUAAGGGUAAGCCGAACGGUGAUCUCGAUGGAUAAUCGGUUAAUAUUCCGAUACUGACAUAUACCUCGAUGGAGAGACGAAGGAACGUAAGUGCCGCCACCUGACGGAAUAGGUGGUUAAAGGGCUUAGGUAUAGGGACAGAUUAAGAGUUAGUCCUUGCUGAAACCUGACAGUACAGAGAGCCUACGGGCAAUUUGAUAGUGCACCCAAGUCGACUUCCGAGAAAAUCUUCUAAGUUAUAGUAUAUGUCACCCGUACCGUAAACCGACACAGGUGGUCGAGGAGAGUAUCCUAAGGUGCUCGAGUGAAUCACGGUUAAGGAACUAGGCAAAUUAACCCCGUAACUUCGGGAAAAGGGGUCCCUAUGAAAGUAGGGCGCAGCGAAGAGGUCCAGGCGACUGUUUAUCAAAAACACAGGGCUCUGCAAAUUCGAAAGAAGACGUAUAGGGCCUGACACCUGCCCGGUGCUGGAAGGUUAAGAGGGGAUGUCAUCGCAAGAGAAGCAUUGAAUCGAAGCCCCAGUAAACGGCGGCCGUAACUAUAACGGUCCUAAGGUAGCGAAAUUCCUUGUCGGGUAAGUUCCGACCUGCACGAAUGGUGUAACGAUCUGGACACUGUCUCAACCGUGAGCUCGGUGAAAUUGUAGUCCCGGUGAUGAUGCCGGGUACCCGCAACGGGACGAAAAGACCCCGUGAACCUUUACUAUAGCUUAACGCUGAAUUUGGGUACACAAUGUGUAGGAUAGGC
This 1631-nucleotide ribosomal RNA is filed under the name human gut metagenome. Its description in RNAcentral is "bacterial LSU rRNA". It matches the Rfam family "Bacterial large subunit ribosomal RNA", at positions 508 to 2148 of the family's 2925-position model. The record is from RNAcentral.